RNAcentral lists this ribosomal RNA (795 nucleotides) under uncultured euryarchaeote. RNAcentral describes it as "bacterial SSU rRNA". It matches the Rfam family "Archaeal small subunit ribosomal RNA", at positions 63 to 859 of the family's 1478-position model. The record is from RNAcentral. Lineage: Archaea; Methanobacteriati; Methanobacteriota.
UGUUCUUCGUGACAUGGCGGACUGCUCAGUAACACGUGGACAACCUACCCUUGGGUUCGGCAUAAUCCUGGGAAACUGGGGAUAAUUCCGGAUAGGUCACAGAUGCUGGAAUGCACUGUGGCUCAAAGCUCCGGCGCCCAAGGAUGGGUCUGCGGCCUAUCAGGGUUGUAGUGGGUGUAAUGUACCUACUAGCCUACGACGGGUACGGGUUGUGAGAGCAAGAGCCCGGAGAUGGAUUCUGAGACACGAAUCCAGGCCCUACGGGGUGCAGCAGGCGCGAAAACUUUACAAUGCGGGAAACCGUGAUAAGGGAAUCUCGAGUGCCAGCAUAUAAUGUUGGCUGUCCAGAUGCCUAAAAAGCAUCUGUUAGCAAGGGCCGGGCAAGACCGGUGCCAGCCGCCGCGGUAACACCGGCGGCCCGAGUGGUAACCGCUAUUAUUGGGUCUAAAGGGUCCGUAGCAGGCCAGGUAAGUCCCUUGGGGAAUCUGGCAGCUCAACUGUCAGGCUGCUAGGGGAUACUGUUUGGCUUGGGACCGGGAGAGGUGAGAGGUACCUUGGGGGUAGGGGGUGAAAUCUUGUGAUCCUCGGGGGACCACCAGUGGCGAAGGCGUCUCACCAGAACGGGUCCGACGGUAAGGGACGAAAGCUAGGGGCACGAACCGGAUUAGAUACCCGGGUAGUCCUAGCCGUAAACGAUGCUCGCUAGGUGUCAGUCACGGUGCGACCGUGAUUGGUGCCGUAGGGAAGCCGUGAAGCGAGCCACCUGGGAAGUAUGGCCGCAAGGCUGAAACUUAA